GCUUGUGAUGCUUUGGGUAAGCAACUAGCCCAUAUAGAUCAUACUUGUCAAUUAUUUUCAAUACUGUUGUGAGAACACUUGCAUUGCCACCAGACAUCUCAUCUAUAUCAUCCCUGUUUCCCAUGAUUAGUGUAAGAUUGGCAAGCUCUCUUAAUGGACGGCACUCUCCAAAGGCUUUAAGUAGAGUGGUAAUAUUUUUCUUUGGGUCAGGCCUUGACAAGGCCAAAAUCAUUGGCUUGUGAGGAUUAGUUAGGAAUCUCAUGACUUCAGACCAUAUUGCAGGGAUUGCUUUUGGGGAAGACCCAUCAGUACCACCAAUAAGU
Molecule: unclassified non-coding RNA, 323 nt
Filed under: Hevea brasiliensis (rubber tree)
Lineage: Eukaryota; Viridiplantae; Streptophyta; Magnoliopsida; Malpighiales; Euphorbiaceae
Source: RNAcentral